UCCUACGGGUGGCUGCAGUGGGGAAUAUUGCACAAUGGGGGAAACCCUGAUGCAGCGACGCCGCGUGAAGGAAGAAGUAUUUCGGUAUGUAAACUUCUAUCAGCAGGGAAGAAAAUGACGGUACCUGACUAAGAAGCCCCGGCUAACUACGUGCCAGCAGCCGCGGUAAUACGUAGGGGGCAAGCGUUAUCCGGAUUUACUGGGUGUAAAGGGAGCGUAGGCGGUUCAGCAAGUCAGAAGUGAAAGCCCGGGGCUCAACUCCGGGACUGCUUUUGAAACUGUUGAACUAGAUUGCAGGAGAGGUAAGUGGAAUUCCUAGUGUAGCGGUGAAAUGCGUAGAUAUUAGGAGGAACACCAGUGGCGAAGGCGGCUUACUGGACUGUAACUGACGCUGAGGCUCGAAAGCGUGGGGAGCAAACAGGAUUAGAUACCCGGGUAGUC
RNAcentral lists this ribosomal RNA (441 nucleotides) under Salmonella enterica subsp. enterica serovar Anatum. Its description in RNAcentral is "bacterial SSU rRNA". It matches the Rfam family "Bacterial small subunit ribosomal RNA", at positions 337 to 795 of the family's 1533-position model. Lineage: Bacteria; Pseudomonadati; Pseudomonadota; Gammaproteobacteria; Enterobacterales; Enterobacteriaceae. The record is from RNAcentral.